Molecule: long non-coding RNA, 709 nt
Organism: Macrosteles quadrilineatus (aster leafhopper)
Lineage: Eukaryota; Metazoa; Arthropoda; Insecta; Hemiptera; Cicadellidae
Exons: 3
Source: RefSeq, a predicted model, not a curated record
ACUGACGACUGACAACGGCGAUAAUAUGGUAUUUUAUAACCUAAACAUUUAUUUAUUUAAAUGUUAUACACGAUUUUUAUACGAGAAAUGGCAACAAUUACAUGCUGUAUGACAAUGAAAAUGCAAGAAAUAUUUAUAGUGAGAAGUUAAAAGAUAUGAAAAUGAAGUGAAGUGAAGGAUAACGGCAUUGAAAAUUAAUGAAUCUUGUCAAUGGUCUGGCUGGUGUUGACAGAAGAUAAAAGAGAGGAACAAUGAUUAUUAAUAAAUUGUAAACAUCAAAAAAUUCCAAAACUAUAUUGUGGUGUUGAAAUUCAGUAAAUUUUCUUGUAAAGCUUGGAGCAUUGCAAAUGUUUGGUGUUAAUGUAUGAGAGUACUUAACAUGUAAACAAUAUUGAUGAAGUUGUCUGCUUAUUUGGGGCCAAAUAAGGAGAGAAAUUUUCUUGGAAAAGAAUCAAAAGCAAUAAAGGAUAGCAUGACAGAAGAAUGCAGAAGGGUUGCUCAGCUAUUAACUUCGCCCUAUAAUCUUUAUUUAUUUCAAUUGUGUUGUAAGAAGUAUUUUUUAAACAGUAAAACUUUCUCCAAUUUAUAGACUACCUAUUAUGAUUCAUUGUUGUGUUUUAUUAAGGUCCCUACCCUUAUCUAAAAAAUAUUUUAUAAACCAAAAUGUUUAAUGCUGUUCGCCUAUUAUUCUUUAUGAAACAUUAAAAUA